RNAcentral lists this ribosomal RNA (253 nucleotides) under uncultured bacterium. Its description in RNAcentral is "partial 16S ribosomal RNA". It matches the Rfam family "Bacterial small subunit ribosomal RNA", at positions 524 to 776 of the family's 1533-position model. The record is from RNAcentral.
UACGUAGGGGGCAAGCGUUGUCCGGAUUCAUUGGGCGUAAAGAGCGUGUAGGCGGCCAGGUAGGUCGGUUGUGAAAACUGGAGGCUCAACCUUCAGACGUCGACCGAAACCAUCUGGCUAGAGUCCGGGAGAGGAGAGUGGAAUUCCUGGUGUAGCGGUGAAAUGCGCAGAUAUCAGGAAGAACACCCGUGGCGAAAGCGGCUCGCUGGGACGUUACUGACGCUGAGACGCGAAAGCGUGGGGAGCAAACAGG